CCUACGGGAGGCAGCAGUAGGGAAUCUUCCACAAUGGGCGAAAGCCUGAUGGAGCAACGCCGCGUGGGUGAAGAAGGUCUUCGGAUCGUAAAACCCUGUUGUUAGAGAAGAAAGUGCGUGAGAGUAACUGUUCACGUUUCGACGGUAUCUAACCAGAAAGCCACGGCUAACUACGUGCCAGCAGCCGCGGUAAUACGUAGGUGGCAAGCGUUAUCCGGAUUUAUUGGGCGUAAAGGGAACGCAGGCGGUCUUUUAAGUCUGAUGUGAAAGCCUUCGGCUUAACCGGAGUAGUGCAUUGGGAACUGGGAGACUGGAGUGCAGAAGAGGAGAGGGGAACUCCAUGUGUAGCGGGGAAAUGCGUAGAUAUAUGGAAGAACACCAGUGGCGAGAGCGGCUCUCUGGUCUGUAACUGACGCUGAGGUUCGAAAGCGUGGGUAGCAAACAGGAUUAGAUACCCCGUAGUC
RNAcentral lists this ribosomal RNA (464 nucleotides) under uncultured bacterium. Its description in RNAcentral is "partial 16S ribosomal RNA". It matches the Rfam family "Bacterial small subunit ribosomal RNA", at positions 338 to 795 of the family's 1533-position model. The record is from RNAcentral.